Molecule: transfer RNA, 61 nt
Filed under: Stenamma expolitum
Lineage: Eukaryota; Metazoa; Arthropoda; Insecta; Hymenoptera; Formicidae
Description: tRNA-Ser
Source: RNAcentral
AAAUAAAUUAAAAUGAACUUCUAAUUCAUUAUAUAUGAUUAUUAAUAAAAUCAUUUAUUUU